UUAGCAUGGAAUAAUAAAAUAGGACGUGUGGUUCUAUUUUGUUGGUUUCUAGGACCGCCGUAAUGAUUAAUAGGGACAGUCGGGGGCAUCAGUAUUCAAUUGUCAGAGGUGAAAUUCUUGGAUUUAUUGAAGACUAACUACUGCGAAAGCAUUUGCCAAGGAUGUUUUCAUUAAUCAGGAACGAAAGUUAGGGGAUCGAAGACGAUCAGAUACCGUCGUAGUCUUAACCAUAAACUAUGCCGACUAGGGAUCGGACGAUGUUAAAAAUUGACUCGUUCGGCACCUUACGAGAAAUCAAAGUGCUUGGGCUCCAGGGGGAGUAUGGUCGCAAGGCCGAAACUUAAAGAAAUUGACGGAAGGGCACCACCAGGGGUGGAGCCUGCGGCUUAAUUUGACUCAACACGGGGAAACUCACCAGGUCCAGACACAAUGAGGAUUGACAGAUUGAGAGCUCUUUCUUGAUUUUGUGGGUGGUGGUGCAUGGCCGUUUUUAGUUGGUGGAGUGAUUUGUCUGCUUAAUUGCGAUAACGAACGAGACCUUAACCUGCUAACUAGCCCGUAUUGCUUUGGCAGUACGCUGGCUUCUUAGAGGGACUAUCGGCUCAAGCCGAUGGAAGUUUGAGGCAAUAACAGGUCUGUGAUGCCCUUAGAUGUUCUGGGCCGCACGCGCGCUACACUGACGGAGCCAGCGAGUACUCCCUUGGCCGAAAGGCCUGGGUAAUCUUGUUAAACUCCGUCGUGCUGGGGAUAGAGCAUUGCAAU
Molecule: ribosomal RNA, 762 nt
Filed under: uncultured Sordariomycetes
Lineage: Eukaryota; Fungi; Ascomycota; Sordariomycetes
Description: SSU rRNA
Rfam family: Eukaryotic small subunit ribosomal RNA
Source: RNAcentral